Molecule: ribosomal RNA, 297 nt
Filed under: uncultured bacterium
Lineage: Bacteria
Description: partial 16S ribosomal RNA
Rfam family: Bacterial small subunit ribosomal RNA
Source: RNAcentral
UGGGGGAAACCCUGAGGCAGCAACGCCGCGUGGGUGAAGAAGGCCCUCGGGUUGUAAAGCACUGGCAGGUGAGAAGAAACCUCGAUAGGUGAAUAUCCUAGCGAACUGACGGUACCACCAAAGGAAGCACCGGCUAACUCCGUGCCAGCAGCCGCGGUAAGACGGAGGGUGCAAGCGUUGUUCGGAAUUACUGGGCGUAAAGAGCGGGUAGGCGGUCUGAUAAGUCGAGUGUGAAAGCCCGAGGCUCAACGUCGGAAGUGCACUCUAAACUGUCAGGCUUGAGGACGGGAGAGGGAA